RNAcentral lists this unclassified non-coding RNA (248 nucleotides) under uncultured Nocardioidaceae bacterium. RNAcentral describes it as "contains 16S-23S intergenic spacer region". The record is from RNAcentral. Lineage: Bacteria; Bacillati; Actinomycetota; Actinomycetes; Propionibacteriales; Nocardioidaceae.
UGGGUUUGACAUAUGCCGGAAACACCUAUCUCUAGGUGUUUCCGGCAUAUGUCAAACCCAGGUAAGGUUCUUCGCGUUGCAUCGAAUUAAUCCGCAUGCUCCGCCGCUUGUGCGGGCCCCCGUCAAUUCCUUUGAGUUUUAGCCUUGCGGCCGUACUCCCCAGGCGGGGCGCUUAAUGCGUUAGCUGCGGCACGGAACUCGUGGAAUGAGCCCCACACCUAGCGCCCAACGUUUACGGUGUGGACUAC